CAGCCGCCACGGUAAUACGUAGGUGGCAAGCGUUGUCCGGAAUUAUUGGGCGUAAAGGGCUCGCAGGCGGUUUCUUAAGUCUGAUGUGAAAGCCCCCGGCUCAACCGGGGAGGGUCAUUGGAAACUGGGAAACUUGAGUGCAGAAGAGGAGAGUGGAAUUCCACGUGUAGCAGUGAAAUGCGUAGAGGCGUGGAGGAACACCAGUGGCGAAGGCGACUCUCUGGUCUGUAACUGACGCUGAGGAGCGAAAGCGUGGGGAGCGAACAGGAUUAGAUACCCGCGUAGUCCCUGUCUCUUAUAC
This 301-nucleotide ribosomal RNA is filed under the name uncultured bacterium. Its description in RNAcentral is "partial 16S ribosomal RNA". It matches the Rfam family "Bacterial small subunit ribosomal RNA", at positions 509 to 807 of the family's 1533-position model. The record is from RNAcentral.